UACGGAGGGGGCAAGCGUUAUUCGGAAUUAUUGGGCGUAAAGGGCGCGUAGGCGGCUAGAUGUGUCAAAGGUGAAAUCCCUCGGCUCAACUGAGGAACUGCCUUUGAAACUGUCUGGCUUGAGGCCGGGAGAGGGUAGCGGAAUUCCCAGUGUAGCGGUGAAAUGCGUAGAUAUUGGGAGGAACACCAGUGGCGAAGGCGGCUACCUGGACCGGUUCUGACGCUGAGGCGCGAAAGCCGGGGGAGCAAACAGG
RNAcentral lists this ribosomal RNA (253 nucleotides) under uncultured bacterium. RNAcentral describes it as "partial 16S ribosomal RNA". It matches the Rfam family "Bacterial small subunit ribosomal RNA", at positions 524 to 776 of the family's 1533-position model. The record is from RNAcentral.